AUUCAGCUGACGAGUCCCAGAUAAGACGAAACGCCUCCUGGAU
RNAcentral lists this non-coding RNA (43 nucleotides) under Schistosoma margrebowiei. Lineage: Eukaryota; Metazoa; Platyhelminthes; Trematoda; Strigeidida; Schistosomatidae. The record is from RNAcentral.